RNAcentral lists this ribosomal RNA (445 nucleotides) under uncultured bacterium. RNAcentral describes it as "bacterial SSU rRNA". It matches the Rfam family "Bacterial small subunit ribosomal RNA", at positions 331 to 793 of the family's 1533-position model. The record is from RNAcentral.
CCAGACUCCUACGGGAGGCAGCAGUGGGGAAUAUUGCACAAUGGGGGAAACCCUGAUGCAGCGACGCCGCGUGAGCGAUGAAGUAUUUCGGUAUGUAAAGCUCUAUCAGCAGGGAAGAAAAUGACGGUACCUGACUAAGAAGCCCCGGCUAACUACGUGCCAGCAGCCGCGGUAAUACGUAGGGGGCAAGCGUUAUCCGGAUUUACUGGGUGUAAAGGGAGCGUAGACGGUCCUGCAAGCCAGAUGUGAAAGCCCGGGGCUCAACCCCGGGACUGCAUUUGGAACUGUAAGGCUAGAGUGUCGGAGAGGCAGGCGGAAUUCCUAGGGGAGCGGUGAAAUGCGUAGAUAUUAGGAGGAACACCGGCGGCGAAGGCGGCCUGCUGGACCGUGACUGACGUUGAGGCUCGAGAGCGUGGGGAGCAAACAGGAUUAGAUACCCGUGUAU